This 358-nucleotide unclassified non-coding RNA is filed under the name Hevea brasiliensis (rubber tree). Lineage: Eukaryota; Viridiplantae; Streptophyta; Magnoliopsida; Malpighiales; Euphorbiaceae. The record is from RNAcentral.
GGUAACAUGACCAAUCGUCAGCUGGCGAUAAGAAUUCAGGCUUGGAAUAUGCGGAGGCCAGGUCGACACCGAAGGUGGAGGCGAGGAAGAUAGCAUCAGGGCAGCCAGAGAAGGGAUCGACGGGAGAUCGAACGUGGGGGGCGGAGAAGGAAUAGGAAUGGGCGUCGAGGUCGCAAUCAACGCAGAGGGCGAGAUCGUCAGCGGCGCAGCGGGAGGAGGCCGGAGCGGCGGCGCAGUUGUCACAGAUCGGGGCUCGGGAGUGCUUACCGGAGAGGGGAUUGGCGGCAUGGACGUCACGGUCGCAGGAGAGGCAGAGGCGCGCGGCGUCCGCGCGGCAGUAGACAGCGGCGGCGGCCGC